GUGGGGAAUUUUGGACAAUGGGCGCAAGCCUGAUCCAGCCAUUCCGCGUGAGUGAAGAAGGCCUUCGGGUUGUAAAGCUCUUUCGGCAGGAACGAAACGGUCGUCUCUAACAUAGAUGGUUAAUGACGGUACCUGAAGAAGAAGCACCGGCUAACUACGUGCCAGCAGCCGCGGUAAUACGUAGGGUGCGAGCGUUAAUCGGAAUUACUGGGCGUAAAGCGUGCGCAGGCGGUUCUAUAAGACAGAUGUGAAAUCCCCGGGCUUAACCUGGGAACUGCGUUUGUGACUGUAGGACUCGAGUGUGGCAGAGGGGGGUGGAAUUCCACGUGUAGCAGUGAAAUGCGUAGAGAUGUGGAGGAACACCGAUGGCGAAGGCAGCCCCCUGGGUCAACACUGACGCUCAUGCACGAAAGCGUGGGUAGCAAACAGGAUUAGAUACCCCUGUAGUCC
This 450-nucleotide ribosomal RNA is filed under the name uncultured bacterium. RNAcentral's name for it is "bacterial SSU rRNA". It matches the Rfam family "Bacterial small subunit ribosomal RNA", at positions 354 to 796 of the family's 1533-position model. The record is from RNAcentral.